CCUACGGGCGGCAGCAGUGAGGAAUAUUGGUCAAUGGACGCAAGUCUGAACCAGCCAUGCCGCGUGCAGGAAGACGGCUCUAUGAGUUGUAAACUGCUUUUGUACGAGGGUAAACGCCGAUACGUGUAUCCGUCUGAAAGUAUCGUACGAAUAAGGAUCGGCUAACUCCGUGCCAGCAGCCGCGGUAAUACGGAGGAUUCAAGCGUUAUCCGGAUUUAUUGGGGUUAAAGGGGGCGUAGGCGGUCGGCUAAGUUAGAGGUGAAAUCCCGGGGCUCAACUGCGGAAUUGCCUCUGAUACUGUUCGGCUAGAGCGUAGUUGCGGUAGGCGGAAUGUCUGGUGUAGCGGUGAAAUGCUUAGAGAUCAUACAGAACACCGAUUGCGAAGGCAGCUUACCAAGCUACUUCUGACGUUGAGGCACGAAAGCGUGGGGAGCAAACAGGAUUAGAUACCCUUGUAGUC
RNAcentral lists this ribosomal RNA (460 nucleotides) under uncultured bacterium. RNAcentral's name for it is "partial 16S ribosomal RNA". It matches the Rfam family "Bacterial small subunit ribosomal RNA", at positions 338 to 795 of the family's 1533-position model. The record is from RNAcentral.